RNAcentral lists this ribosomal RNA (396 nucleotides) under Termitogeton sp. IS192. RNAcentral describes it as "partial 16S ribosomal RNA". Lineage: Eukaryota; Metazoa; Arthropoda; Insecta; Blattodea; Rhinotermitidae. The record is from RNAcentral.
CGCCUCUUGUUAGUUUUUGAGGUAUGGCCUGCCCGCUGAUUUUGUUGGUUGAAGGGCCGCGGUAUUUUGACCGUGCAAAGGUAGCAUAAUCAUUAGUUCUUUAAUUGUGAUCUGGUAUGAAUGGCUCGACGAGGUGCAGCCUGUCUUAGGGUUAUUUGGGAUUUGUUGUUGAUUUUGGUUUUUGAGUUAAAAUUCUUAAAUGUUUUUAUGGGACGAGAAGACCCUAUAGAGUUUGACAUACGCUUGUUGUUUUGUGGUUGGUUUGGGUUUUCAUAAUUUACUUUUUGGUGUGUUUUGUUGGGGUGAUGGGAAGGCUUUUUUUAACCCUUCCUUGUUGGUUUAAUAUUUAUUAGUAGUUGUUUGAUCCUCUUUUUGUGAUUGUAAGAUUAAAUUACC